This 765-nucleotide ribosomal RNA is filed under the name uncultured bacterium. RNAcentral describes it as "bacterial SSU rRNA". It matches the Rfam family "Bacterial small subunit ribosomal RNA", at positions 59 to 838 of the family's 1533-position model. The record is from RNAcentral.
AAGUCGAACGAGCGAGAGAGAGCUUGCUUUCUUGAGCGAGUGGCGAACGGGUGAGUAACGCGUGAGGAACCUGCCUCAAAGAGGGGGACAACAGUUGGAAACGACUGCUAAUACCGCAUAAGCCCACGGGUCGGCAUCGACCAGAGGGAAAAGGAGCAAUCCGCUUUGAGAUGGCCUCGCGUCCGAUUAGCUAGUUGGUGAGGUAACGGCCCACCAAGGCGACGAUCGGUAGCCGGACUGAGAGGUUGAACGGCCACAUUGGGACUGAGACACGGCCCAGACUCCUACGGGAGGCAGCAGUGGGGAAUAUUGCACAAUGGGGGAAACCCUGAUGCAGCGACGCCGCGUGGAGGAAGAAGGUCUUCGGAUUGUAAACUCCUGUUGUUGGGGAAGAUAAUGACGGUACCCAACAAGGAAGUGACGGCUAACUACGUGCCAGCAGCCGCGGUAAAACGUAGGUCACAAGCGUUGUCCGGAAUUACUGGGUGUAAAGGGAGCGCAGGCGGGAAGACAAGUUGGAAGUGAAAUCUAUGGGCUCAACCCAUAAACUGCUUUCAAAACUGUUUUUCUUGAGUAGUGCAGAGGUAGGCGGAAUUCCCGGUGUAGCGGUGGAAUGCGUAGAUAUCGGGAGGAACACCAGUGGCGAAGGCGGCCUACUGGGCACCAACUGACGCUGAGGCUCGAAAGUGUGGGUAGCAAACAGGAUUAGAUACCCUGGUAGUCCACACCGUAAACGAUGAUUACUAGGUGUUGGAGGAUUGACCC